ACCUGGCUGGCUCAGUGGGUAGAGCAUGAAACUCUUGAUCUCAGGAUUGUGAGUUCAAGCCCCACACUGGGUG
Molecule: transfer RNA, 73 nt
Filed under: Canis lupus familiaris (dog)
Lineage: Eukaryota; Metazoa; Chordata; Mammalia; Carnivora; Canidae
Also listed under: 2 other names
Rfam family: tRNA
About the family: Transfer RNA (tRNA) molecules are approximately 80 nucleotides in length. Their secondary structure includes four short double-helical elements and three loops (D, anti-codon, and T loops).
Source: Rfam by way of RNAcentral